GUAGGGUGCAAGCGUUAUCCGGAAUCAUUGGGCGUAAAGAGCUCGUAGGCGGUUCAGCAAGUCGGCUGUGAAAUCCCGAGGCUUAACCUCGGAACUGCAGUCGAUACUGCUGUGACUAGAGUCCGGUAGAGGAGAAUGGAGUUCCCGGUGUAGCGGUGAAAUGCGCAGAUAUCGGGAGGAACACCAGUAGCGAAGGCGGUUCUCUGGGCCGGUACUGACGCUGAGGAGCGAAAGCGUGGGGUAGCAAACAGGAUUAGAUACCCUGGUAGUCCACGCCGUAAACGUUGGACACUAGGUGUGGCGUUCUGACCAACGGGUGCCGUGCCGAAGCUAACGCAUUAAGUGUCCCCGCCUGGGAGUACGGCCGCAAGGCUA
Molecule: ribosomal RNA, 375 nt
Filed under: uncultured organism
Description: partial 16S ribosomal RNA
Rfam family: Bacterial small subunit ribosomal RNA
Source: RNAcentral